This 650-nucleotide ribosomal RNA is filed under the name Rhodococcus opacus. RNAcentral's name for it is "bacterial SSU rRNA". It matches the Rfam family "Bacterial small subunit ribosomal RNA", at positions 41 to 708 of the family's 1533-position model. The record is from RNAcentral. Lineage: Bacteria; Bacillati; Actinomycetota; Actinomycetes; Mycobacteriales; Nocardiaceae.
GGCGUGCUUAACACAUGCAAGUCGAGCGGUAAGGCCCUUCGGGGUACACGAGCGGCGAACGGGUGAGUAACACGUGGGUGAUCUGCCCUGCACUUCGGGAUAAGCCUGGGAAACUGGGUCUAAUACCGGAUAUGACCUUCGGCUGCAUGGCUGUUGGUGGAAAGGUUUACUGGUGCAGGAUGGGCCCGCGGCCUAUCAGCUUGUUGGUGGGGUAAUGGCCUACCAAGGCGACGACGGGUAGCCGACCUGAGAGGGUGACCGGCCACACUGGGACUGAGACACGGCCCAGACUCCUACGGGAGGCAGCAGUGGGGAAUAUUGCACAAUGGGCGAAAGCCUGAUGCAGCGACGCCGCGUGAGGGAUGACGGCCUUCGGGUUGUAAACCUCUUUCAGCAGGGACGAAGCGAGAGUGACGGUACCUGCAGAAGAAGCACCGGCCAACUACGUGCCAGCAGCCGCGGUAAUACGUAGGGUGCAAGCGUUGUCCGGAAUUACUGGGCGUAAAGAGCUCGUAGGCGGUUUGUCGCGUCGUCUGUGAAAACUCGAGGCUCAACCUCGAGCUUGCAGGCGAUACGGGCAGACUUGAGUACUGCAGGGGAGACUGGAAUUCCUGGUGUAGCGGUGAAAUGCGCAGAUAUCAGGAGGAACA